UAGUCUAACGACUGAACCAGCAACUUGGAAGAAUGAAUAGCGAAAGCUAAUUGUAUUAUUUGCGAUAUCAACUACGUUGAAUAAAAUUCUGGGUAAAAUUAUGAUGAUGACAUUGUUUACCCAUGUGUCUUGACCAAAUUACGUGCCAGCAGUCGCGGUAAUACGUAGAAGACUAGUGUUAUUCAUCUUUAAUAGGUUUAAAGGGUACCUAGACGGUAAACCAAGCUCUACAGGACUAGUUUACUAGAGUUACUUACAAGGAGGCUAUAAAGUACUAAUGGUGUAGAGAUGAAAUUUUGUGAUACCAUUUCUCGAAAGGAAGUUAUGGCACUGAUAAAGGCGAAAGCAUCCUCUUAUGUGAUAGCUUUGGAUCGCGAAUAGGAUUAGAUACCCUAGUAGUCAAAGCAGAAAAUGAUGAGUGUCAUAGAUUAUUUUAUUCUAUAAAUGAAAGUGUAAGCACUCCACCUCAAGAGUAAUUUGGCAACAUUGGAACUGAAAUCAUUAGACCGUUUCUGAAACCAGUAGUGAAGUAUGUUGUUUAAUUUGAUAAUCCGCAAAACACCUUACCAUGAAUAGAUACAAGCGUUGCACGGCUGUCUACAGUUAAUGUCGUGAGACUUUGGUUAGAUCCAUUAAAUUAACGCAAGCCCUUACUUUAUUUUUAAAUAGAGUUGUUCCCCGCUAUAUUGGAUAUGAUAACAGGGACUAAGACAAGUCAUCAUGGCCUUAAUGUUAUAGACCUUUACAAAAGGAUGUGAAAUUGUGAAAUUAAACUAAUCCCCAAAUAUGGAUAUA
Molecule: ribosomal RNA, 795 nt
Filed under: Lecania cyrtella
Lineage: Eukaryota; Fungi; Ascomycota; Lecanoromycetes; Lecanorales; Ramalinaceae
Description: SSU rRNA
Rfam family: Bacterial small subunit ribosomal RNA
Source: RNAcentral